This 668-nucleotide ribosomal RNA is filed under the name Brachybacterium sp. Its description in RNAcentral is "bacterial SSU rRNA". It matches the Rfam family "Bacterial small subunit ribosomal RNA", at positions 100 to 783 of the family's 1533-position model. Lineage: Bacteria; Bacillati; Actinomycetota; Actinomycetes; Micrococcales; Dermabacteraceae. The record is from RNAcentral.
GAACGGGUGAGUAACACGUGAGUAACCUGCCCUUCACUCUGGGAUAACCUCGGGAAAUCGGGGCUAAUACCGGAUAUGAGUGUCCACUGCAUGGUGGAUGCUGGAAAGUUUUUCGGUGAAGGAUGGACUCGCGGCCUAUCAGUUUGUUGGUGAGGUAAUGGCUCACCAAGACGAUGACGGGUAGCCGGCCUGAGAGGGCGACCGGCCACACUGGGACUGAGACACGGCCCAGACUCCUACGGGAGGCAGCAGUGGGGAAUAUUGCACAAUGGGCGAAAGCCUGAUGCAGCGACGCCGCGUGAGGGAUGACGGCCUUCGGGUUGUAAACCUCUUUCAGUAGGGAAGAAGCGAAAGUGACGGUACCUGCAGAAGAAGCGCCGGCUAACUACGUGCCAGCAGCCGCGGUAAUACGUAGGGCGCAAGCGUUGUCCGGAAUUAUUGGGCGUAAAGAGCUUGUAGGUGGCUUGUCGCGUCUGCCGUGAAAAUCCAGGGCUUAACUCUGGACGUGCGGUGGGUACGGGCAGGCUAGAGUGUGGUAGGGGAGACUGGAACUCCUGGUGUAGCGGUGAAAUGCGCAGAUAUCAGGAAGAACACCGAUGGCGAAGGCAGGUCUCUGGGCCAUUACUGACACUGAGAAGCGAAAGCAUGGGGAGCGAACAGGAUUAGAU